RNAcentral lists this ribosomal RNA (464 nucleotides) under uncultured bacterium. Its description in RNAcentral is "bacterial SSU rRNA". It matches the Rfam family "Bacterial small subunit ribosomal RNA", at positions 58 to 507 of the family's 1533-position model. The record is from RNAcentral.
CAAGUCGAGGGGAAACGAUAGAGAAAGCUUGCUUUUCUAGGCGUCGACCGGCGCACGGGUGAGUAACGCGUAUCCAACCUGCCCAUCACUUGGGGAUAACCGUUGCGAAAGUAAGACUAAUACCCAAUGACGUCUCUAGAAGACAUCUGGAAAGAGAUUAAAGAUUUAUCGGUGAUGGAUGGGGAUGCGUCUGAUUAGCUUGUUGGCGGGGUAACGGCCCACCAAGGCGACGAUCAGUAGGGGUUCUGAGAGGAAGGUCCCCCACAUUGGAACUGAGACACGGUCCAAACUCCUACGGGAGGCAGCAGUGAGGAAUAUUGGUCAAUGGACGAGAGUCGUGAACCAGCCAAGCAGCGUGCAGGAUGACGGCCCUAUGGGUUGUAAACUGCUUUUAUAAGGGAAUAAAGUGAGUCUCGUGAGACUUUUUGCAUGUACCUUAUGAAUAAGGACCGGCUAAUUCCGUG